Molecule: transfer RNA, 74 nt
Filed under: Actinomycetaceae bacterium
Lineage: Bacteria; Bacillati; Actinomycetota; Actinomycetes; Actinomycetales; Actinomycetaceae
Description: tRNA-Ile
Rfam family: tRNA
About the family: Transfer RNA (tRNA) molecules are approximately 80 nucleotides in length. Their secondary structure includes four short double-helical elements and three loops (D, anti-codon, and T loops). Further hydrogen bonds mediate the characteristic L-shaped molecular structure. tRNAs have two regions of fundamental functional importance: the anti-codon, which is responsible for specific mRNA codon recognition, and the 3' end, to which the tRNAs corresponding amino acid is attached (by aminoacyl-tRNA synthetases). tRNAs cope with the degeneracy of the genetic code in two manners: having more than one tRNA (with a specific anti-codon) for a particular amino acid; and 'wobble' base-pairing, i.e. permitting non-standard base-pairing at the 3rd anti-codon position.
Source: RNAcentral
GCCCCUGUAGCUCAGAUGGUUAGAGCAGGGAACUCAUAAUUCCAAGGUCGUGGGUUCGAGCCCCGCCGGGGGCA